GGAUGAACGCUGGCGGCGUGCCUAAUACAUGCAAGUCGAGCGAACAGAUGAGGAGCUUGCUCCUCUGACGUUAGCGGCGGACGGGUGAGUAACACGUGGAUAACCUACCUAUAAGACUGGGAUAACUUCGGGAAACCGGAGCUAAUACCGGAUAAUAUAUUGAACCGCAUGGUUCAAUAGUGAAAGACGGUUUUGCUGUCACUUAUAGAUGGAUCCGCGCCGCAUUAGCUAGUUGGUAAGGUAACGGCUUACCAAGGCAACGAUGCGUAGCCGACCUGAGAGGGUGAUCGGCCACACUGGAACUGAGACACGGUCCAGACUCCUACGGGAGGCAGCAGUAGGGAAUCUUCCGCAAUGGGCGAAAGCCUGACGGAGCAACGCCGCGUGAGUGAUGAAGGUCCUCGGAUCGUAAAACUCUGUUAUUAGGGAAGAACAAAUGUGUAAGUAACUAUGCACGUCUUGACGGUACCUAAUCAGAAAGCCACGGCUAACUACGUG
This 498-nucleotide ribosomal RNA is filed under the name uncultured bacterium. RNAcentral's name for it is "partial 16S ribosomal RNA". It matches the Rfam family "Bacterial small subunit ribosomal RNA", at positions 27 to 507 of the family's 1533-position model. The record is from RNAcentral.